RNAcentral lists this ribosomal RNA (372 nucleotides) under uncultured organism. RNAcentral describes it as "bacterial SSU rRNA". It matches the Rfam family "Bacterial small subunit ribosomal RNA", at positions 526 to 897 of the family's 1533-position model. The record is from RNAcentral.
CGUAGGGUGCGAGCGUUAAUCGGAAUUACUGGGCGUAAAGCGUGCGCAGGCGGUUUUGUAAGACAGAUGUGAAAUCCCCGGGCUCAACCUGGGACCUGCAUUUGUGACUGCAAGGCUAGAGUACGGUAGAGGGGGAUGGAAUUCCGCGUGUAGCAGUGAAAUGCGUAGAUAUGCGGAGGAACACCGAUGGCGAAGGCAAUCCCCUGGACCUGUACUGACGCUCAUGCACGAAAGCGUGGGGAGCAAACAGGAUUAGAUACCCUGGUAGUCCACGCCCUAAACGAUGUCAACUGGUUGUUGGGUCUUUACUGACUCAGUAACGAAGCUAACGCGUGAAGUUGACCGCCGUGGGGAGUACGGCCGCAAGGUUAG